Molecule: transfer RNA, 55 nt
Filed under: Mastigeulota kiangsinensis
Lineage: Eukaryota; Metazoa; Mollusca; Gastropoda; Stylommatophora; Camaenidae
Description: tRNA-Asp
Source: RNAcentral
ACUUAGUUUAUAUAAAAUAAUUGCUUGUCAAGCAGUAGCAACUACAUUAGUAGUA